RNAcentral lists this ribosomal RNA (482 nucleotides) under uncultured Anoxybacillus sp. RNAcentral describes it as "bacterial SSU rRNA". It matches the Rfam family "Bacterial small subunit ribosomal RNA", at positions 901 to 1382 of the family's 1533-position model. Lineage: Bacteria; Bacillati; Bacillota; Bacilli; Caryophanales; Anoxybacillaceae. The record is from RNAcentral.
UCAAAGGAAUUGACGGGGCCCGCACAAGCGGUGGAGCAUGUGGUUUAAUUCGAAGCAACGCGAAGAACCUUACCAGGUCUUGACGUCCCUGACAACCCGAGAGAUCGGGCGUUCCCCGUUCGGGGGGACAGGGUGACAGGUGGUGCAUGGUUGUCGUCAGCUCGUGUCGUGAGAUGUUGGGUUAAGUCCCGCAACGAGCGCAACCCUCGACCUUAGUUGCCAGCAUUCAGUUGGGCACUCUAAGGUGACUGCCGGCUAAAAGUCGGAGGAAGGUGGGGAUGACGUCAAAUCAUCAUGCCCCUUAUGACCUGGGCUACACACGUGCUACAAUGGGCGGUACAAAGGGUCGCGAACCCGCGAGGGGGAGCCAAUCCCAAAAAGCCGCUCUCAGUUCGGAUUGCAGGCUGCAACUCGCCUGCAUGAAGCCGGAAUCGCUAGUAAUCGCAGGUCAGCAUACUGCGGUGAAUACGUUCCCGGGCCUU